This is a long non-coding RNA of Oncorhynchus keta (chum salmon), 625 nucleotides long. RefSeq lists it as uncharacterized. The transcript has 3 exons. Lineage: Eukaryota; Metazoa; Chordata; Actinopteri; Salmoniformes; Salmonidae. The record is from RefSeq and is a predicted model, not a curated record.
CAGACAGGACACUCAUCACUAUCAGACAUGUUACCAGGUCUACAGGACAGACAGGACAGACAGGACACUCAUCACUAUCAGACAUGUUACCAGGUCUACAGGACAGACAGGACAGACAGGACACUCAUCACUAUCAGACAUGUUACCAGGUCUACAGGACAGACAGGACACUCAUCACUAUCAGACAUGUUACCAGGUCUACAGGACAGACAGGACAGACAGGACACUCAUCACUAUCAGACAUGUUACCAGGUCUACAGGACAGACAGGACAGACAGGACACCCAUCACUAUCAGACAUGUUACCAGGUCUACAGGACAGACAGGACAGACAGGACACCCAUCACUAUCAGACAUGUUACCAGGUCUACAGGACAGACAGGACAGACAGGACACCCAUCACUAUCAGACAUGUUACCAGGUCUACAGGACAGACAGGACAGACAGGACACCCAUCACUAUCAGACAUGUUACCAGGUCUACAGGACAGACAGGACAGACAGGACACCCAUCACUAUCAGACAUGUUACCAGGUCUACAGGACAGACAGGACAGACAGGACACCCAUCACUGUCAGACAUGUUACCAGGUCUACAGGACACUCAUCACUAUCAGACAUGUUACCA